GGAUUUCCUCUGUGCAGCUUUCAAGCGGUAGACUCACCCUGCCAGGCAGACCUAGAUUGGCAUAACCAGAGAUUAAUUCCAGUUGUGAUGCAGUGGGUGUUUACACACUUCUGAUGACACCUUUAUUUUAAAAGCAGAUGUUCCAAGAUUUUUAGGGCAGUUUUUAGUGUCAUUAUGUUGCUGCUACAUAUUUGGAAGAUGGAACAAGCCCAGACAAAGGAUGAUUCUUUUUUACUCAUCUUAAACCCAUUUUUUUUUCCUUCAUCUGAGCCGCUUAAAACUAAUGUGUUACUGGAAUGGAUUUUCUUCCGUGUCGCUGACACGAACAGGAGACAGAAAUACUGAGUAGAAGAGGGCGGUUCCCUGGCUAAGGCCCCACCCUCAAGCCUGGAUACCCGCGGCCCUAAAUGAGAAGAGGCAUUUCUGUUUGGGGCCCAAAAAGUUGCCUUUUGACCCGCCACGCCCCCUGUCCUGCCCCCAUAUAAA
Molecule: long non-coding RNA, 486 nt
Filed under: Pongo abelii (Sumatran orangutan)
Lineage: Eukaryota; Metazoa; Chordata; Mammalia; Primates; Hominidae
Description: lincRNA
Source: RNAcentral